UACAGAGGGUGCAAGCGUUAAUCGGAAUUACUGGGCGUAAAGCGCGCGUAGGUGGUUCGUUAAGUUGGAUGUGGAAUCCCCGGGCUCAACCUGGGAACUGCAUUCAAAACUGUCAAGCUAGAGUAUGGUAGAGGGUGGUGGAAUUUCCUGUGUAGCGGUGAAAUGCGUAGAUAUAGGAAGGAACACCAGCGGCGAAGGCGGCUACCUGGACAGAAACUGACGCUGAGGCGCGAAAGCUAGGGGAGCGAACGGG
This 253-nucleotide ribosomal RNA is filed under the name uncultured bacterium. RNAcentral describes it as "partial 16S ribosomal RNA". It matches the Rfam family "Bacterial small subunit ribosomal RNA", at positions 524 to 776 of the family's 1533-position model. The record is from RNAcentral.